Molecule: small nuclear RNA, 111 nt
Organism: Antechinus flavipes (yellow-footed antechinus)
Lineage: Eukaryota; Metazoa; Chordata; Mammalia; Dasyuromorphia; Dasyuridae
Source: RefSeq, a predicted model, not a curated record
GUGCUCAUUUGUGAUAGCACAUAUACUAAAAUCGAAAUGAUACAGAGAAGAUUAUUAGCAUGGCCCCUGCUCAUGGAUGGCAUGUAAAUUCAUGAAGCAUUCCUUGUUUUU